GGAUUGUGGCUCAGUGGCAGAGUGCUUGCCUUGCACAUGUGAGGUGCUGGGUUCGAUCCUCAGCACCA
This 68-nucleotide transfer RNA is filed under the name Marmota monax (woodchuck). Its description in RNAcentral is "tRNA.Ala". The record is from RNAcentral. Lineage: Eukaryota; Metazoa; Chordata; Mammalia; Rodentia; Sciuridae.